UACCGUCACGUAUGAAAGCGAAUAUUCAAAAUCGAAAUUAUUUCACUUCCGUGCAUGAAACUUAAUGCUUAACAAUCAUUAAUUUCGAAGUAAUUUUAUUUCCUUUUUUAUUAAAUUGCUCUUUAAUGUUUGCGAUUGAAACAUACUUAUGUAUUGGAGUUUAUUAUAUGGAAUCUAUAUCAUUAUUCUAUUAAAAAAGAAAUGUAAUAUCGCCAAUUUUGACAUCUUUACUCUUUGGAUUUUACAUCAUAAGUUUGCGUAACAACGAUAAGCAUAUCACUGAUAAGCACACACUCGCACAAUGGCUACUGUCGGGAAGACGCUCUGGUUUGAAACGUCAUUUUAUCUUUGUUCUACAUUCCAUGAGAAUAAAGAUAGAAUGACGUUUCGGAGCAUUCAUAGUGCAGUCUUGACCGCAGCCAAUAUAAACUAUCUUCUUAA
Long non-coding RNA from Camponotus floridanus (Florida carpenter ant), 441 nucleotides. RefSeq lists it as uncharacterized. The transcript has 3 exons. The record is from RefSeq and is a predicted model, not a curated record. NCBI's taxonomy places the organism in Eukaryota, Metazoa, Arthropoda, Insecta, Hymenoptera, Formicidae.